GCAAGCUCUGCUCUUCAGCCUCACUCAGGACUGCAGAAAAAUGCAUGUUCUUGGGCCUGUCACUAGAGAUUCUGCUUCAGCAUGUCUGCAGAGAACUCAGAAAUAAGCAGUUUACAAAUGCUGCCACUCAAGCAUUUAAGGAGACAGGCUGAAUGAGGGCAGAGAGCCCCAUGGCUGAACCACCCCAUGGCAUCUGGCUCCGGGCAGGCCACCUGAACACUGCCCAGCCUCGGUCCUCUUACCUGCUCAAUGAGGAUGCCCAGGGAAUCCUGUGGGUGUUGGCAGGUCCUGUGGGAGAUGGUGUGGUAACAGCACUUGGCCAUACCUUACAGGACUCCAAACGGAACAGAGUGAGGACUCAAAGGGAGGUGCUGGGAGCAACCAAGGACAUCAGUGCCUCCUUCUCAACCAGACACCCUGGGCUCUGAGCCCUAAUGGUUCUCCCUCCCACUGUGGCCUAAGUGUCUUCACAUUCAAGGCUCUGGCAGUCAUGAGGAUUACAUCUCAACAUGAGAUUUGGAGGGACCAUCCAAACUAUAUCACACGGUAAGACAUGAUGCAUGUUUAUACACUUUAUUGGACAAUUUGUUUACUGACAGCCAAAAGCACCCUCACAAAUACAAAGGCUCAGCACUGUCUGGGGAGUCUUUCCAGCCUCAUUUUCCACCACUGCUCUUUGAUGCCUCUCUGGGUGAACCGUGUGUUGCUUUCUCUUUGCUUUGGCUGCUAACUGCCAGGCCCCUCUAGUGUCCUCAAAUUGGUGAACUCCUAGUCAUCCUUCAAAGCCCAACUCAAAUUUCCCCACCUCUGCAAAGGCUUCUGAGCUCCCCUAGGCAGAACUCAAAGCCCUGUCUUGCUGCCUUCAAAUGUCUUCACUGUGGAAUUUCUCACAUCAUUCUCCAGCCACUUGUCUGCUGGCCAGUCUGCUGCACUGUGAGCUCUUGGGUGCUGCAGCUCUUUCUCCAUGAUCUGUUAUCCCCUAGCAUUGCACCUGGUAUGCUGCAGGUGCUGGUCAAUGCUGCAUAUUGCAUUACUGAAAAUACUGCUUCCUCCAGGCCUCCUGUAACCCUUGGCUCUCCUGAUGUUCUUGCCCAGCUGGGCAGGAAGGUGGUGCAUCUCUCAUGUCCCAGGAGAAACAAGCUCUCAGUGAGGACACAGUAUGGGAAUAGGCUCCUGCUGCACCACACUGUCCCUGCUCUCUUCAACCCAGGUGGGAUCCCUGGCCCAGACAGG
RNAcentral lists this long non-coding RNA (1233 nucleotides) under Homo sapiens (human). RNAcentral describes it as "HSALNT0035917". The record is from RNAcentral. Lineage: Eukaryota; Metazoa; Chordata; Mammalia; Primates; Hominidae.